UUUAAAUUGAGAGUUUGAUCCUGGCUCAGGACGAACGCUGGCGGCGUGCCUAACACAUGCAAGUCGAGCGAGGAACUUCGGUUCCUAGCGGCGGACGGGUGAGUAACAC
Molecule: ribosomal RNA, 109 nt
Filed under: Clostridium sp. 19966
Lineage: Bacteria; Bacillati; Bacillota; Clostridia; Eubacteriales; Clostridiaceae
Description: partial 16S ribosomal RNA
Rfam family: Bacterial small subunit ribosomal RNA
Source: RNAcentral